AGAGUUUGAUCCUGGCUCAGAGCGAACGCUGGCGGCAGGCUUAACACAUGCAAGUCGAACGGGCGUAGCAAUACGUCAGUGGCAGACGGGUGAGUAACGCGUGGGAACGUACCUUUUGGUUCGGAACAACACAGGGAAACUUGUGCUAAUACCGGUUAAGCCCUUACGGGGAAAGAUUUAUCGCCGAAAGAUCGGCCCGCGUCUGAUUAGCUAGUUGGUGAGGUAACGGCUCACCAAGGCGACGAUCAGUAGCUGGUCUGAGAGGAUGAUCGGCCACAUUGGGACUGAGACACGGCCCAAACUCCUACGGGAGGCAGCAGUGGGGAAUAUUGGACAAUGGGCGCAAGCCUGAUCCAGCCAUGCCGCGUGAGUGAUGAAGGCCCUAGGGUUGUAAAGCUCUUUUGUGCGGGAAGAUAAUGACGGUACCGCAAGAAUAAGCCCCGGCUAACUUCGUGCCAGCAGCCGCGGUAAUACGAAGGGGGCUAGCGUUGCUCGGAAUCACUGGGCGUAAAGGGUGCGUAGGCGGGUCUUUAAGUCAGAGGUGAAAUCCUGGAGCUCAACUCCAGAACUGCCUUUGAUACUGAGGAUCUUGAGUUCGGGAGAGGUGAGUGGAACUGCGAGUGUAGAGGUGAAAUUCGUAGAUAUUCGCAAGAACACCAGUGGCGAAGGCGGCUCACUGGCCCGAUACUGACGCUGAGGCACGAAAGCGUGGGGAGCAAACAGGAUUAGAUACCCUGGUAGUCCAA
This 746-nucleotide ribosomal RNA is filed under the name uncultured bacterium. RNAcentral describes it as "bacterial SSU rRNA". It matches the Rfam family "Bacterial small subunit ribosomal RNA", at positions 8 to 798 of the family's 1533-position model. The record is from RNAcentral.